GAUGAACGCUGGCGGCGUGCCUAAUACAUGCAAGUCGAGCGAACAGACGAGGAGCUUGCUCCUCCGACGUUAGCGGCGGACGGGUGAGUAACACGUGGAUAACCUACCUAUAAGACUGGGAUAACUUCGGGAAACCGGAGCUAAUACCGGAUAAUAUAUUGAACCGCAUGGUUCAAUAGUGAAAGACGGUUUUGCUGUCACUUAUAGAUGGAUCCGCGCCGCAUUAGCUAGUUGGUAAGGUAACGGCUUACCAAGGCAACGAUGCGUAGCCGACCUGAGAGGGUGAUCGGCCACACUGGAACUGAGGCACGGUCCAGACUCCUACGGGAGGCAGCAGUAGGGAAUCUUCCGCAAUGGGCGAAAGCCUGACGGAGCAACGCCGCGUGAGUGAUGAAGGUCUUCGGAUCGUAAAACUCUGUUAUUAGGGAAGAACAAAUGUGUAAGUAACUAUGCACGUCUUGACGGUACCUAAUCAGAAAGCCACGGCUAACUACGUG
RNAcentral lists this ribosomal RNA (497 nucleotides) under uncultured bacterium. RNAcentral's name for it is "partial 16S ribosomal RNA". It matches the Rfam family "Bacterial small subunit ribosomal RNA", at positions 28 to 507 of the family's 1533-position model. The record is from RNAcentral.